RNAcentral lists this ribosomal RNA (283 nucleotides) under Mannheimia haemolytica PHL213. RNAcentral's name for it is "23S ribosomal RNA". It matches the Rfam family "Bacterial large subunit ribosomal RNA", at positions 2644 to 2925 of the family's 2925-position model. The record is from RNAcentral. Lineage: Bacteria; Pseudomonadati; Pseudomonadota; Gammaproteobacteria; Pasteurellales; Pasteurellaceae.
GCCGUGGGCGUUGGAGAAUUGAGAGGGGCUGCUCCUAGUACGAGAGGACCGGAGUGGACGCAUCACUGGUGUUCCAGUUGUCUCGCCAGAGGCAUUGCUGGGUAGCUACAUGCGGAAGAGAUAAGUGCUGAAAGCAUCUAAGCACGAAACUUGCCUCGAGAUGAGUUCUCCCACACUAUAAGUGUGUAAGGGUUGUUGGAGACUACGACGUAGAUAGGCUGGGUGUGUAAGUGUUGUGAGACAUUGAGCUAACCAGUACUAAUUGCCCGAGAGGCUUAACUAU